RNAcentral lists this transfer RNA (58 nucleotides) under Heterosigma akashiwo. The record is from RNAcentral. Lineage: Eukaryota; Raphidophyceae; Chattonellales; Chattonellaceae.
UGGUUCAGUCGGUAGAGUGCUCGACUCGCAUGCCCGAGAUCAUCGGUUCGAUGCCCAG